UGCUCAAGAAAAGGAUUUAAGUCCAGCCUAAAGUCUUCUUAGUUUAUCAAAACAUAACCUCGACUUUAGAGUAAUUCAAAUAAGGUACAGCCUAUUUGAAAAAGGAUACAACCUAGACUAAUGGGUAAUGAUUCAACUUUAUAACUAAGUGGGCCUAAAAGCAGCCACCUUUAAAACAGCGUCAAAGCUUCAUUAUAACACACACCUAAUACCAUAAAAAUUUGAUACCCCUUUAAUUCUAUUGAGUAAUUCUAUACUAUUAUAGAAAAUAUAAUGUUAAAACUAGUAACAAGAAGAAGACCUUCUCUUUAAUGCAAGUGUAAAUCAGAAAGGACCUCCCACUGAUAAUUAACCCCCAUGAAACUACAUUAGCAACCUCACAAGAAAAUCCUAAUAAAUUUUGAGUUAAUCUAACACAAGGGCAUUACAAGAAAGAUUUAAAGAAAAAGAAGGAACUCGGCAAACAUUAACCUCGCCUGUUUACCAAAAACAUCGCCUCUUGAAUAACUAUAAGAGGUCCAGCCUGCCCAGUGACUUUGUUCAACGGCCGCGGUAUCCUAACCGUGCGAAGGUAGCGUAAUCACUUGUCUUUUAAAUGGGGACUUGUAUGAAUGGCAUCACGAGGGUUAUACUGUCUCCUUUUUCUAAUCAGUGAAACUAAUCUUCCCGUGAAGAAGCGGGAAUAAACAUAUAAGACGAGAAGACCCUAUGGAGCUUUAAACUUAAUAACAAAUACUAACCUUACAUCAACCUUCAGAGUAUUAACCUUAAUUUUAGUAUUAUGAUUAUUAGUUUUAGGUUGGGGUGACCGCGGAGUAAAAAUUAACCUCCACAUUGAACGGGACCUGUCCCUGAGCCAAGAACUACAGCUCAAAGCACCAACAAAUUGACAUUAAUUGACCCAAUAUUUUGAUCAACGAACCAAGUUACCCUAGGGAUAACAGCGCAAUCCACUUCAAGAGCUCCUAUCGACAAGUGGGUUUACGACCUCGAUGUUGGAUCAGGGUAUCCCAGUGGUGCAGCCGCUACUAAAGGUUCGUUUGUUCAACGAUUAAAACCC
Molecule: ribosomal RNA, 1060 nt
Filed under: Osteocephalus taurinus (Manaus slender-legged treefrog)
Lineage: Eukaryota; Metazoa; Chordata; Amphibia; Anura; Hylidae
Description: partial 16S ribosomal RNA
Rfam family: Bacterial large subunit ribosomal RNA
Source: RNAcentral